AGAUUUAUGAAUAAAGUAUAUUUUUACAAAAAAAGAACUUCUCCCAGGAUGAGGCUAUCUCAUUGCACUUCGGGUGUGCUGAUGCCUGCGAUGUCACCAAAUGCGGGAUACUCAACUGCAAAAUUUGUGGUAGUGAUGGACUGCAUUUGCGCUCUCCCCUA
Small nuclear RNA from Carcharodon carcharias (great white shark), 161 nucleotides. RefSeq annotates it as U1 spliceosomal RNA. Lineage: Eukaryota; Metazoa; Chordata; Chondrichthyes; Lamniformes; Lamnidae. The transcript has a single exon. The record is from RefSeq and is a predicted model, not a curated record.